UUAAAUUGAAGAGUUUGAUCAUGGCUCAGAUUGAACGCUGGCGGCAGGCCUAACACAUGCAAGUCGAACGGUAACAGGAAGAAGCUUGCUUCUUUGCUGACGAGUGGCGGACGGG
This 115-nucleotide ribosomal RNA is filed under the name Escherichia coli. RNAcentral describes it as "partial 16S ribosomal RNA". It matches the Rfam family "Bacterial small subunit ribosomal RNA", at positions 1 to 106 of the family's 1533-position model. Lineage: Bacteria; Pseudomonadati; Pseudomonadota; Gammaproteobacteria; Enterobacterales; Enterobacteriaceae. RNAcentral also lists the same sequence under 1 other name. The record is from RNAcentral.